ACUGCUCUUCCAGAGGCAAGACCAACCAAGAUGAGUGACCUGGGAGCUGUCAUUUCCCUCCUGCUCUGGGGACGACAGCUUUUUGCACUGUACUCAGGCAAUGAUGUCACGGAUAUUUCAGAUGACCGCUUCCCGAAGCCCCCUGAGAUUGCGAAUGGCUAUGUGGAGCACUUGUUUCACUACCAGUGUAAGAACUACUACAGACUGCGCACAGAAGGAGAUGGUAAGACCUCGACAACUAUCUCUGUGCCCUACAUACAAACCCCACUCUGACAUUUCCAUGAUGGGCGGUGCUGAGGUGAUUUGCUAGAAAGUUCUUUGCUCUCCUUGGAGCCAGGAGAUUUAGAUUCUAAUAAGCGUUUUGUCACCAGUAGCCAUGGCCCUUUGGGCAGACUAACUUUUGUCAGCCUCAAGUUUUCUGUUUUGUUAAGGGGAGGCGAUGCCAUGCAGCCUACCUCAUGUAAAUCUCAGAGUCGGAUUUACAUCUCCAGCAGGAGAUGUGGGAAAAGAAGGAAUGCUGAUGAUGCUGUCACCCUCACCUAGUGAGUCUUGCUGUCCUGGCACUGCUCUAAGGGCUUUAUAUUUAUUUGCU
RNAcentral lists this small RNA (592 nucleotides) under Pongo abelii (Sumatran orangutan). Its description in RNAcentral is "retained intron". Lineage: Eukaryota; Metazoa; Chordata; Mammalia; Primates; Hominidae. The record is from RNAcentral.